Molecule: long non-coding RNA, 2775 nt
Filed under: Paramuricea clavata
Lineage: Eukaryota; Metazoa; Cnidaria; Anthozoa; Malacalcyonacea; Plexauridae
Source: RNAcentral
UCGAUUCAGUGUAAAAAUAUAUACUAGUUUAUAACGAUAGUUUUAGUCAAUGGCUACAUUGUAGCGAUUUAUAAGCUUUGAAAGUCAAACGGGCUUAUAUAUGAUCAAAUUACGCAAUAUUACUAACAAAUUAUAAACAUAGACAUACCUUUCGCCGAACAUAACUUCGGCCCCUUGAGACAUAUGCUCAUUCUUGUAUUCUUGAUGAAUGAAGCAGUUAAAAAUAACACGUAUAGUGUUAUUUUCAAGCUUCUAUCUUUAAAACGUGAGUAUUCUUGCCGAAUUUUGCAUUUCUGCCCGAAUUUGCGUUAAUCCCAAACCGGAAAUACGACGAAAAACCGUCAAAACAAUGCGUAGUUUGUAUCGCGUGACUCUGGAAAUGCCAGAAAUGGAUUCUACAGGUCAAAGUGCACCCAUACGUGUGAGUUUGACGUCAUCCCGGCUAAAGAGAGCUCCUUAUCACAGAAUAGGAAGUUAUACCAGAAGCGUAACUCAAGCAAAUAUUUGUCCGCGUUUUUACAAGCGAUUCGUCAUCAAUCACGCCAUCCUGGCUAGUACAACCGGCACUUUGUACCUACCAAAUCCUGAUAAAAACUUCCGGCUGUACUAGCCAGGAUGGCGUCAAUGGUGGCAUUUAUUUAAAAGGGGGGUAAAUACUCGCCGAGAUAUUUAUAUUAGAAAAAUUGUAUCGAAAUGUAAUACAAAACCGGUUGUCGAGAAAGAGUUAAAACGUUUUUAAUUAAAAUAUUGAAGUCUCAAAACUUUGUAUAGCAAUAUCAAACUGCAGAAGUAAGUCAAUGUAUCAACAGGAUGGACAAGAAAAAAGUCUUGUGUUAUUCCGCCAUGAUUAAUUUGCGAUACGCACGCUGGUGUAAACAUGCGUACUAAAGUACGGCUAAAUGGCGAAACAAGUGAUAAAUAUUCGACUUUUUAGCCUCGAGCAAAUUCCCCACCCCGGGGCUAACCUGCAGAAAGCAAAUGCCCGACUCUGGGAACAAGUACAGUUGAGAAUGCCCGACAAACGCCCGGGGGGGUGUUGGGCACCCAUGGAAUUGAUUGAGACAUAAGGGUGUUAUUAGGAGAUUAUACCACCAGAUUGCAAGUAUCUUAGCAGUUGUUUCCUUAGCCUGAGUGUCAGAUGCUCAAGACUGUUUGCCUGGUUUGGCUAUAUAUUUUGAACACUGACCCCUUUAAAAUCACAGCUAAAAAUAUGACCAUUACUUAUGCAAACAAACUGUGCAUUCAAAUCAAACACUAAAUAAUGGUAGCGAUAUCAAACAUUCUAGACUUUUAUCCUGGCCAAAACAUUUAAAACAUGUUUUGCAACAAGCGAUUCUCUAACCAAAGACCAAGUUGGAAUUCAUAGGUAUUACGCUGGGUAUCUCCAGCGUAAAAUGUUGUUGAUAUUUUAUGCUGUGCAGAGCAAAUGAAUGACUACCUGAUCAUCGGCGGGACGUAAAACGCCAUAAAUUAUGACUUUGUUUACGUUUUGAACUGCUAUAUUUGGAAAAUAAUAUACUAACUGAAUAUCUAACACUUUUCUGGUUUGCUUGUAAAUGAACAUAAACUGCACGUUUCAAUUCAAAAAAAGUUUGAAAGAUGCAAAAUUUGGGCAAUGUUUAUAUGUGGGGGUCCCCUUUUGUUAUGAGCAGAACUGAUGUGCAGAACGGAGUGGACAUUGCCUUUAACCUAACUCGUACUUUCAGAGUGGAUUGGUAUAAUUGUAAAAUUUAGCCAACAAACCUGGGGAAGACAGAUCUGCAUAAUCAAAAACAUUCAGAUUAGCCAGAUUUCUGCUACAGAUUAUAAGCUUUUUGUCAUAAUUUAUUAUGGCUUAUAAUUGUAACUUGUCUUAUAUUGUAACUUAGACUAAAUUAAACAAAUUGUUACAUGUACCUGUUUUCGUACAUUAAUAAUUUUCAAGCAACAUGUGCAGUCUCCCUAAUUACCCCCACCUUUGCGGCUGUAUGUGUUUGUCAGCAUGAUAACUUGAAAAAUAUCAAACACAUUAGAAAAAUAACACACGUAACAUUUUCAAAUUAUAUUCAUAACAACUUUAUAAUAAUAUGUUAUAGUGUAAAUCUAUAUAUCAUUAAAUUAAUAACAAAUAAUACACAUUGGUAGCUCUUGAUAACAAUGUUGAUGAACAUAUUAAAAACAUUUCUACAAAUAAUAUAAUAUUAACCCAUUAGAGCGCAAGACUCCCUUUGAGGAAUGACAAGUAAAAUUGUCUGGCGUAAAAACAGAGUGAAAUUACUGAAAUACUGAAGUAGGGGCAUUGAAAAUUACAGGUGUUAAAGGCACAUUGGCAUUUUGGUUAACCAUUAGAUAUACAAAAGUAAUAGGGUGCAUUGGGCAUAUUGCAGCUUAAUGGGUUAAUGUAAAUAAUCAAAAAGGCCAAUAUUUUUUAUAAUUCAAAUCACAACAGUUGGCUUUACAUUCAUGUUCAAAUUUAAGUGUAACAUUUUAUAAAAAUAGUCAAAGAUAUCCAGUGUAUAUUGUCUUGUUUGGCAAGACGUCUCACUUAUAAAUGAACCCAAAAAUGGCAAAAACAGAAAUCCAGUUUAUAAGCCUAUGGUACUAUUGCAAUGUAAUUAAAAUAAAUUAAAUAUGAUGCAUUCAUUCCAAAAAUUUUUCAAGUUACAUCUAAACAAGUCACUUGAUUUUCAGUUCUACACUGAUGAUGCAUUUUAAUACAUCUGGCGCCGGUUGUUCAAAGGUGGUUUAGCGCUAAACCUGUGUUAAAAUUUAACCCGCUGUUUUGGUUUGGGUACA